Molecule: ribosomal RNA, 389 nt
Filed under: uncultured bacterium
Lineage: Bacteria
Description: bacterial SSU rRNA
Rfam family: Bacterial small subunit ribosomal RNA
Source: RNAcentral
AUUGAACGCUGGCGGAAUGCUUUACACAUGCAAGUCGAGCGGCAGCGCGGGGGCAACCCUGGCGGCGAGCGGCGAACGGGUGAGUAAUACAUCGGAACGUGUCCUUGAGUGGGGGAUAGCUCGGCGAAAGCCGGAUUAAUACCGCAUAAGCUCUGCGGAGGAAAGCGGGGGACUGGUAACGGCCUCGCGCUGUUGGAGCGGCCGAUGUCGGAUUAGCUAGUUGGUGGGGUAAAGGCCCACCAAGGCGACGAUCCGUAGCUGGUCUGAGAGGAUGAUCAGCCACACUGGAACUGAGACACGGUCCAGACUCCUACGGGAGGCAGCAGUGGGGAAUUUUGGACAAUGGGGGCAACCCUGAUCCAGCCAUUCCGCGUGAGUGAAGAAGGCCU